GAUGAACGCUGGCGGCGUGCUUAACACACGCAAGUCGAGCGAAGCACUUAUGAAAGAUUCUUCGGAUGAAUUCAUUUGUGACUGAGCGGCGGACGGGUGAGUAACGCGUGGGUAACCUGCCUCAUACAGGGGGAUAACAGUUGGAAACGACUGCUAAUACCGCAUAAGCGCACAGUACCGCAUGGUACAGUGUGAAAAACUCAGGUGGUAUGAGAUGGACCCGCGUCUGAUUAGCUAGUUGGUGGGGUAACGGCCUACCAAGGCGACGAUCAGUAGCCGACCUGAGAGGGUGACCGGCCACAUUGGGACUGAGACACGGCCCAAACUCCUACGGGAGGCAGCAGUGGGGAAUAUUGCACAAUGGGGGAAACCCUGAUGCAGCAACGCCGCGUGAGUGAAGAAGUAUUUCGGUAUGUAAAGCUCUAUCAGCAGGGAAGAAAAUGACGGUACCUGACUAAGAAGCCC
RNAcentral lists this ribosomal RNA (465 nucleotides) under uncultured bacterium. RNAcentral's name for it is "bacterial SSU rRNA". It matches the Rfam family "Bacterial small subunit ribosomal RNA", at positions 28 to 493 of the family's 1533-position model. The record is from RNAcentral.